AGAGGUACUUCAGGGGUAGGGGUGAAAUCUGUAAAUCCUGAAGGGACCACCAGUGGCGAAGGCGUCUCACCAGAACGGACCUGACGGCAAGGGACGAAAGCUAGGGGCACGAACCGGAUUAGAUACCCGGGUAGUCCUAGCCGUAAACGAUACUCGCUAGGUGUCGGCCACGGUGCGACCGUUGUCGGUGCCGUAGGGAAGCCGUGAAGCGAGCCACCUGGGAAGUACGGCCGCAAGGCUGAAACUUAAAGGAAUUGGCGGGGGAGCACCACAACGGGUGGAGCUUGCGGUUUAAUUGGAUUCAACGCCGGG
This 312-nucleotide ribosomal RNA is filed under the name uncultured archaeon. Its description in RNAcentral is "bacterial SSU rRNA". It matches the Rfam family "Archaeal small subunit ribosomal RNA", at positions 611 to 922 of the family's 1478-position model. The record is from RNAcentral.